Molecule: ribosomal RNA, 467 nt
Filed under: uncultured bacterium
Lineage: Bacteria
Description: partial 16S ribosomal RNA
Rfam family: Bacterial small subunit ribosomal RNA
Source: RNAcentral
GACGAACGCUGGCGGCGUGCUUAACACAUGCAAGUCGAACGGAAAGGCCCUGCUUUUGUGGGGUGCUCGAGUGGCGAACGGGUGAGUAACACGUGAGUAACCUGCCCUUGACUUUGGGAUAACUUCAGGAAACUGGGGCUAAUACCGGAUAGGAGCUCCUGCUGCAUGGUGGGGGUUGGAAAGUUUCGGCGGUUGGGGAUGGACUCGCGGCUUAUCAGCUUGUUGGUGGGGUAGUGGCUUACCAAGGCUUUGACGGGUAGCCGGCCUGAGAGGGUGACCGGCCACAUUGGGACUGAGAUACGGCCCAGACUCCUACGGGAGGCAGCAGUGGGGAAUAUUGCACAAUGGGCGGAAGUCUGAUGCAGCAACGCCGCGUGCGGGAUGACGGCCUUCGGGUUGUAAACCGCUUUCGCCUGUGACGAAGCGUGAGUGACGGUAAUGGGUAAAGAAGCACCGGCUAACUACGU